UACGUAGGGGGCAAGCGUUGUCCGGAAUCAUUGGGCGUAAAGAGCGUGUAGGCGGCCCGGUAAGUCCGCUGUGAAAGUCCAGGGCUCAACCCUGGGAUGCCGGUGGAUACUGUCGGGCUCGAGUCCGGAAGAGGAGUGUGGAAUUCCUGGUGUAGCGGUGAAAUGCGCAGAUAUCAGGAGGAACACCAAUGGCGAAGGCAGCACUCUGGGGCGUGACUGACGCUGAGACACGAAAGCGUGGGUAGCAAACAGG
RNAcentral lists this ribosomal RNA (253 nucleotides) under uncultured bacterium. RNAcentral describes it as "partial 16S ribosomal RNA". It matches the Rfam family "Bacterial small subunit ribosomal RNA", at positions 524 to 776 of the family's 1533-position model. The record is from RNAcentral.